Eriocheir sinensis (Chinese mitten crab) is the source of this 1430-nucleotide long non-coding RNA. RefSeq lists it as uncharacterized. NCBI's taxonomy places the organism in Eukaryota, Metazoa, Arthropoda, Malacostraca, Decapoda, Varunidae. The transcript is spliced from 6 exons. The record is from RefSeq and is a predicted model, not a curated record.
AGGAGAGCAAACUCUAUACAAACCCGGGCAGGUGGAGGUCGUUAGCCGUGGGAGGCAAUUCACCUAGGAGAGCAAACUCCGAACAAUAAACCCGGGCAGGUGGAGGUCGUUAGCCGUGGGAGGCAAUUCACCUAGGAGAGCAAACUCCGAACAAUAAACCCGGGCAGGUGGAGGUCGUUAGCCGUGGUAGGCAAUUCACCUAGGAGAGCAAACUCUAAACAAACCCGGGCAGGUGGAGGUCGUUAGCCGUGGGAGGCAAUUCACCUAGGAGAGCAAACUCUAAACAAACCCGGGCAGGUGAGGCUCGUUAGCCGUGGUAGGCAGUUCACCUAGGAGAGCAAACUCUAAACAAACCCGGGCAGGUGGGGCUCGUUAGCCGUGGUAGGCAGUUCACCUAGGAGAGCAAACUCUAAACAAACCCGGGCAGGUGAGGUUCGUUAGCCGUGGUAGGCAGUUCACCUAGGAGAGCAAACUCCGAACAACAAACCCGGGCAGGUGGAGGUCGUCAGCCGUGGUAGGCAGUUCACCUAGGAGAGCAAACUCCGAACAAUAAACCCGGCCAGGUGGAGGUCGUCAGCCGUGGUAGGCAGUUCACCUAGGAGAGCAAACUCCGAACAAUAAACCCGGGCAGGUGGAGGUCGUCAGCCGUGGUAGGCAGUUCACCUAGGAGAGCAAACUCCGAACAAUAAACCCGGCCAGGUGGAGGUCGUCAGCCGUGGUAGGCAAUCUGCCUAGGAGAGCAAACUCCGAACAAUAAACCCGGGCAGGUGGAGGUCGUCAGCCGUGGUAGGCAAUCUGCCUAGGAGAGCAAACUCCGAACAAUAAACCCGGCCAGGUGGAGGUCGUCAGCCGUGGUAGGCAAUCUGCCUAGGAGAGCAAACUCCGAACAAUAAACCCGGGCAGGUGGAGGUCGUCAGCCGUGGUAGGCAAUCUGCCUAGGAGAGCAAACUCCGAACAAUAAACCCGGCCAGGUGGAGGUCGUCAGCCGUGGUAGGCAGUCUGCCUAGGAGAGCAAACUCCGAACAAUAAACCCGGCCAGGUGGAGGUCGUUAGCCGUGGUAGGCAGUCUGCCUAGGAGAGCAAACUCUAAACAAACCCGGGCUUGUGGUGCUCGUUAUACUGUCGUAGACAAUCCACGCGAUGGGAACACCAAAGAAAAGGAAAAUAAAAAGGAACACCAGAAAAAUGGAAAAUACAGAAACGAAACAUCAAGAAAAGAAACAAAAAGAUCAUCCACCUUUAGGCCCUAACAUCGCCAAAAUUAUGGAUGGGUCUCUUCUGGGGAGAAAGCGGCUCAUCCAGACCAAAGAACAUCAACCAAAGGAUGAUAUGAAUAAAUGAAAUAAAAAAAACAUAAAGAAAAACACAUCAAGGAAAGAAAAAUAUAACAAACAUCAUCCACCUUCCGGCCCUGACUAACAUCACCAAAA